This 477-nucleotide ribosomal RNA is filed under the name uncultured bacterium. Its description in RNAcentral is "partial 16S ribosomal RNA". It matches the Rfam family "Bacterial small subunit ribosomal RNA", at positions 28 to 507 of the family's 1533-position model. The record is from RNAcentral.
GAUUAACGCUGGCUGCGUGCAUAACACAUGCAAGUCGAGCGAUAAAACUUCGUCGACUUCUUCGGAAAGACACUAAGCGGAUUAGGGGCCAGCGGGUGAGUACCGCGUGAGUACCCUGCCUUACACCCGGGGAUAGCCUGUGGAAACGAGGAAUAAUACCCUAUAAAACCAAAAAAGCACAUACUAGAAUGGUCAAAGUGAUAGCGGUGUAAGAUGGACUUGCGUCUGAUUAGCUAGUUGGUUAGAUAAUAGCUCACCAAGGCAACGAUCAGUCUCCGGCUUGAGAGAGUGUACGGCCACAUUGGGACUGAGACACGGCCCAGACUCCUACGGGAGGCAGCAGUGGGGAAUUUUGCACAAUGGGGGAAACCCUGAGGCAGCGACGCCGCGUGAUUUAGAAGGCCUUCGGGUUGUAAAAAUCUUUUGUAUAGGAAGAAAAUGACAGUACUAUACGAAUAAGGGCCGGCUAAUUACGUG